AGUGUCAAGGGAUGGGAAUCGAACCCACGACCUUCCGCUUACCGGGCAGAUGCCAUGACCACUAGGCCACCAGACC
This is a non-coding RNA of Cordylochernes scorpioides, 76 nucleotides long. The record is from the annotation of a GenBank genome assembly. Lineage: Eukaryota; Metazoa; Arthropoda; Arachnida; Pseudoscorpiones; Chernetidae.